UGCGAGUCGAACGCUCCGCCCUUUUUAGCCCUUCGGGGCUAAGGAGGAUCACGGAGAGUGGCGGACGGGUGAGUAACGCGUAGGUAACCUACCCUGAGGAGAGGGAUAACUCUGCGAAAGCGGGGCUAAUACCUCAUACUGUUAGGGCGUGGCAUCACGCCUUAAUGAAAGCUGGCAUAAAGCCAGUGUCACAGGAGGGGCCUGCGUCGGAUUAGCUAGCUGGUGGGGUAAAGGCCUACCAGGGCGACAAUCCGUAGCUGGUCUGAGAGGACGAUCAGCCACACUGGGACUGAGACACGGCCCAGACUCCUACGGGAGGCAGCAGUGGGGAAUCUUCCGCAAUGGGCGCAAGCCUGACGGAGCGACGCCGCGUGGGUGAAGAAGGCCUUCGGGUCGUAAAGCCCUGUCAGUGGGGAAGAAGGCAGCUGUCGGGAAAUGGGCAGCUGUUGACGGUACCCGUUGAGGAAGCCCUGGCCAACUACGUGCCAGCAGCCGCGGUAACACGUAGAGGGCAAGCGUUGUCCGGAAUUACUGGGCGUAAAGGGCGCGCAGGCGGCAGUGCAAGUCGGGUGUGAAAACCUGGGGCUUAACCCCAGGCGUGCAUUCGAAACUGCAUUGCUUGAGGGCAGCAGAGGAGGACGGAAUUCCUGGUGUAGUGGUGAAAUACGUAGAUAUCAGGAGGAACACCAGUGGCGAAAGCGGUUCUCUGGGCUGGCCCUGACGCUGAGGUGCGAAAGCCGGGGGAGCGAACGGGAUUAGAUACCCCGGUAGUCCCGGCUGUAAACGAUGGACACUAGGUGUUGGGGGUUAAACUCCCUCAGUGCCGCAGUUAACGCAAUA
Molecule: ribosomal RNA, 840 nt
Filed under: uncultured low G+C Gram-positive bacterium
Lineage: Bacteria; Bacillati; Bacillota
Description: bacterial SSU rRNA
Rfam family: Bacterial small subunit ribosomal RNA
Source: RNAcentral